Molecule: ribosomal RNA, 906 nt
Filed under: uncultured archaeon
Lineage: Archaea
Description: bacterial SSU rRNA
Rfam family: Archaeal small subunit ribosomal RNA
Source: RNAcentral
GAUCCUGCCGGACCUGACUGCUAUCGGAUUGAUACUAAGCCAUGCGAGUCAUUGUAGUAAUACAAGGCAGACGGCUCAGUAACGCGUAGCCAACCUACCCUAUGGACGGGAAUAACCUCGGGAAACUGAGAAUAAUGCCCGAUAGAACACUAUGCCUGGAAUGGUUUGUGUUCCAAAUGAUUUAUCGCCGUAGGAUGGGACUGCGGCCUAUCAGUUUGUUGGUGAGGUAAUGGCCCACCAAGACUAUUACAGGUACGGGCUCUGAGAGGAGUAGCCCGGAGAUGGGUACUGAGACACGGACCCAGGCCCUAUGGGGCGCAGCAGGCGAGAAAACUUUGCAAUGUGCGAAAGCACGACAAGGUUAAUCCGAGUGGUUUCUGCUAAAGGAACCUUUUGUCAGUCCUAGAAACACUGAUGAAUAAGGGGUGGGCAAGUUCUGGUGUCAGCCGCCGCGGUAAAACCAGCACCUCAAGUGGUCAGGAUGAUUAUUGGGCCUAAAGCAUCCGUAGCCUGCUUUGUUAGUUUUCGGUUAAAUCUGUACGCUCAACGUACAGGCUGCCGGGAAUACUGCAAAGCUAGGGAGUGGGAGAGGUAGACGGUACUCGGUAGGAAGGGGUAAAAUCCUUUGAUCUAUUGAUGACCACCUGUGGCGAAGGCGGUCUACCAGAACACGUCCGACGGUGAGGGAUGAAAGCUGGGGGAGCAAACCGGAUUAGAUACCCGGGUAGUCCCAGCCGUAAACCAUGCAAACUCAGUGAUGCAUUGGCUUGUGGCCAAUGCAGUGCUGCAGGGAAGCCGUUAAGUUUGCCGCCUGGGAAGUACGUACGCAAGUAUGAAACUUAAAGGAAUUGGCGGGGGAGCACCACAAGGGGUGAAGCCUGCGGUUCAAUUGGAGUCAACGCCGGG